RNAcentral lists this ribosomal RNA (1476 nucleotides) under metagenome. Its description in RNAcentral is "bacterial SSU rRNA". It matches the Rfam family "Bacterial small subunit ribosomal RNA". The record is from RNAcentral.
AGAGUUUGAUCCUGGCUCAGGAUGAACGCUGGCGGCGUGCCUAACACAUGCAAGUCGAACGAAGCGCCUUUUGAGAUUCUUCGGAUGAUUGAUUGGUGACUGAGUGGCGGACGGGUGAGUAACGCGUGGGUAACCUGCCCUGUACAGGGGGAUAACAGCCGGAAACGGCUGCUAAUACCGCAUAAGCGCACGAGGAGACAUCUUCUUGUGUGAAAAACUCCGGUGGUACAGGAUGGGCCCGCGUCUGAUUAGCUGGUUGGCAGGGUAACGGCCUACCAAGGCAACGAUCAGUAGCCGGUCUGAGAGGAUGAACGGCCACAUUGGAACUGAGACACGGUCCAAACUCCUACGGGAGGCAGCAGUGGGGAAUAUUGCACAAUGGGGGAAACCCUGAUGCAGCAACGCCGCGUGAGUGAAGAAGUAUUUCGGUAUGUAAAGCUCUAUCAGCAGGGAAGAUAAUGACGGUACCUGACUAAGAAGCUCCGGCUAAAUACGUGCCAGCAGCCGCGGUAAUACGUAUGGAGCAAGCGUUAUCCGGAUUUACUGGGUGUAAAGGGUGCGUAGGUGGCAGUGCAAGUCAGAUGUGAAAGGCCGGGGCUCAACCCCGGAGCUGCAUUUGAAACUGCUCGGCUAGAGUACAGGAGAGGCAGGCGGAAUUCCUAGUGUAGCGGUGAAAUGCGUAGAUAUUAGGAGGAACACCAGUGGCGAAGGCGGCCUGCUGGACUGUUACUGACACUGAGGCACGAAAGCGUGGGGAGCAAACAGGAUUAGAUACCCUGGUAGUCCACGCCGUAAACGAUGAAUACUAGGUGUCGGGGCCGUAUAGGCUCCGGUGCCGCCGCUAACGCAGUAAGUAUUCCACCUGGGGAGUACGUUCGCAAGAAUGAAACUCAAAGGAAUUGACGGGGGCCCGCACAAGCGGAGGAACAUGUGGUUUAAUUCGAUGAUACGCGAGGAACCUUACCCGGGCUCGAACGGCACCUGGAUCGCCCAGAGAUGGGCGAGUCUUCGGACAGGUGUCGAGGUGCUGCAUGGUUGUCGUCAGCUCGUGCCGUGAGGUGUCGGCUCAAGUGCCAUAACGAGCGCAACCCCUGCCGCCAGUUGCCAUCAGGUGAUGCUGGGCACUCUGGCGGGACUGCCACCGCAAGGUGUGAGGAGGGGGGGGAUGACGUCAAAUCAGCACGGCCCUUACGUCCGGGGCGACACACGUGUUACAAUGGCGGCCACAGAGGGAAGCUACCCCGCGAGGGGAUGCGGAUCUCGAAAAGCCGUCCCAGUUCGGACUGGAGUCUGCAACCCGACUCCACGAAGUUGGAUUCGCUAGUAAUCGCGCAUCAGCCAUGGCGCGGUGAAUACGUUCCCGGGCCUUGUACACACCGCCCGUCAAGCCAUGGAAGCCGCGGGCGCCUGAAGUCCGUGACCGUAAGGAGCGGCCUAGGGCGAAAGUGGUAACUGGGGCUAAGUCGUAACAAGGUA